RNAcentral lists this ribosomal RNA (250 nucleotides) under uncultured soil bacterium. RNAcentral's name for it is "partial 16S ribosomal RNA". It matches the Rfam family "Bacterial small subunit ribosomal RNA", at positions 26 to 278 of the family's 1533-position model. The record is from RNAcentral.
AGGACGAACGCUGGCGGCGUGCUUAACACAUGUAAGUCGAGCGAGGCUUCUCCUUCGGGAGAUGUCCUAGCGGCGAACGGGUGAGUAACACGUGGGCAACCUGCCUCUAGCUCUGGGAUAACUCCGGGAAACCAGGGCUAAUACCGGAUACGACCUCGAGCGGCAUCUAUCGAGGUGGAAAGUUUUUCGGCUAGAGAUGGGCCCGCGGCCUAUCAGCUUGUUGGUGAGGUAACGGCCCACCAAGGCGACG